CAAUCCACAAAUACAAUCCAAUACAAUCCAUACGAAAUCACAUUGAAACAUAGCUCGAUUACACAUACACUUAUGCGCGCGAGACGGCAGUAUCAGUAUGAAUAUGCGUAACAUGUACGAAGCUGCUAAUGAAGGUAGUACUAAUUAACAGUUAAAAU
Molecule: long non-coding RNA, 158 nt
Organism: Bradysia coprophila
Lineage: Eukaryota; Metazoa; Arthropoda; Insecta; Diptera; Sciaridae
Source: RefSeq, a predicted model, not a curated record